GAUGAACGCUGGCGGCGUGCUUAACACAUGCAAGUCGAACGAGAAGUGAAGACGGAAACCUUCGGGCGGAAGGCUUUAUUUCGAGUGGCGGACGGGGGAGUAACGCGUGGGUAACCUGCCUCAUACAGGGGGAUAACAGUUGGAAACGACUGUUAAUACCGCAUAAGACCACAGCACCGCAUGGUGCGGGUGUAAAAACUCCGGUGGUAUGAGAUGGACCCGCGUUGGAUUAUCCAGUUGUCGGGGUAACGGCCCACCAAAGCGACGAUCGAUAGCCGAUCUGAGAGGAUGGCCGGCCACAUUGAGACUGAGACACGGCACAAACUCCUACGGGAGGCAGGAGUGGGGAAUAUAGCAAAAUGGGGGGAACGAUGAUGCAGCGACGCCGGGUGAGUGAAGAAGUAUUUGGGUAUGUAAAGCUCUAUCAGCAAGGAAGAACAUGACGGUACCUGAGUAAGAAGCCCCGGCUAACUACGUG
This 478-nucleotide ribosomal RNA is filed under the name uncultured bacterium. RNAcentral's name for it is "partial 16S ribosomal RNA". It matches the Rfam family "Bacterial small subunit ribosomal RNA", at positions 28 to 507 of the family's 1533-position model. The record is from RNAcentral.